This 32-nucleotide small RNA is filed under the name Bombyx mori (domestic silkworm). Its description in RNAcentral is "ovarian small RNA-15056". The record is from RNAcentral. Lineage: Eukaryota; Metazoa; Arthropoda; Insecta; Lepidoptera; Bombycidae.
GAAAGACCGCGGUGACGAAGUCACGCACGAGC